AGGUUAUUGACAAAGUGCCCGCAGCGGCGAAAACAGGUAGAUCAUAAAGACGCCGUCAAAUCGUCCCGGAUGGCUCGAGCCGCGCCAUCCGUGGCGCGGACGCUUU
This 106-nucleotide non-coding RNA is filed under the name Yersinia enterocolitica. Its description in RNAcentral is "Yersinia sRNA 224". It matches the Rfam family "Yersinia sRNA 224". Lineage: Bacteria; Pseudomonadati; Pseudomonadota; Gammaproteobacteria; Enterobacterales; Yersiniaceae. The record is from RNAcentral.